GAGUUUGAUCUUGGCUCAGGAUGAACGCUGGCGGCGUGCCUAAUACAUGCAAGUCGAGCGAACGGACGAGAAGCUUGCUUCUCUGAUGUUAGCGGCGGACGGGUGAGUAACACGUGGAUAACCUACCUAUAAGACUGGGAUAACUUCGGGAAACCGGAGCUAAUACCGGAUAAUAUUUUGAACCGCAUGGUUCAAAAGUGAAAGACGGUCUUGCUGUCACUUAUAGAUGGAUCCGCGCUGCAUUAGCUAGUUGGUAAGGUAACGGCUUACCAAGGCAACGAUGCAUAGCCGACCUGAGAGGGUGAUCGGCCACACUGGAACUGAGACACGGUCCAGACUCCUACGGGAGGCAGCAGUAGGGAAUCUUCCGCAAUGGGCGAAAAGCCUGACGGAGCAACGCCGCGUGAGUGAUGAAGGUCUUCGGAUCGUAAAACUCUGUUAUUAGGGAAGAACAUAUGUGUAAGUAACUGUGCACAUCUUGACGGUACCUAAU
This 493-nucleotide ribosomal RNA is filed under the name uncultured microorganism. Its description in RNAcentral is "bacterial SSU rRNA". It matches the Rfam family "Bacterial small subunit ribosomal RNA", at positions 9 to 483 of the family's 1533-position model. The record is from RNAcentral.